Molecule: ribosomal RNA, 750 nt
Filed under: uncultured bacterium
Lineage: Bacteria
Description: bacterial SSU rRNA
Rfam family: Bacterial small subunit ribosomal RNA
Source: RNAcentral
GGGAAGCAAAACUGCAAGUCGAGCGACCACUUCGUGUGGGAAGCGGCUAACGGGUGAGUAACACGCAGGUGAUCUGCCCCUUUGACGGGGACCACGAUUGUAAACGAUCGCUAAUACCGGACCAUACGAAAGUUUAAAGAUGCUCCUGGCAUCACUGAUGGAUGAGCCUGCGGCGCAUUAGCUAGUUGGUGGGGUAAACGCCUACCAAGGCGACGAUGCGUAGCCGACCUGAGAGGGUGAACGGCCACACUGGGACUGAAAGACGGCCCACACUCCUACGGUAGGCAGCAGUACGGAAUCUUCGGCAAUGGGCGAAAGCCUGACCGAACAACGCCGCGAGAAUGAAGAAGGCCUUCGGGUUGUAAAAUUCUGUUAUAAGGGAAGAAAGGUGAUAGGAGGAAAUGACUAUCAAUUGACGGUACCUUAUGAGAAAGCCACGGCUAACUACGUGCCAGCAGCCGCGGUAAUACGUAUGUGGCAAGCGUUAUCCGGAAUUAUUGGGCGUAAAGAGCGCGCAGGUGGUUAAUUAAGUCUGAUGUGAAAGCCCACGGCUUAACCGUGGAGGGUCAUUGGAAACUGGUUGACUUGAGUGCAGAAGAGGGAAGUGGAAUUCCAUGUGUAGCGGUGAAAUGCGUAAAGAUAUGGAGGAACACCAGUGGCGAAGGCGGCUUCCUGGUCUGCAACUGACACUGAGGCGCGAAAGCGUGGGGAGCAAACAGGAUUAGAUACCCUGCUAUUCCACGCCGUACA